AUCAAAUUAAAAAAAAUGAUACAUCGUUAUAUGUGUAUGACCUUGGAACUUUUAACUACAAUGGAAUGUAGAAUUGAUUUCCUAAAACUGUAAAAUUCAAGGGAAUAUUCUGUCCACCCAUAUUUGUAUGCAACCAUAUGUGACGUACCAUAUGUGGUGGUAUUACACCUUAAAGUUAGUUUACAUUUGAUAGGAACUUCUUGUGAUACAUUCAGUUGAAGAACUAUUCAGAUGCACUGACCCCUAAGUAAUGGUCAAAUGAAUUUGAAUUUAUCAACAAUUUUCAAUGUAAGUUGUCUGUAUAAGUCAUUUUGAAGAUAUAGAUAUAUAUGUGGGCUCCUCGUCCCUGUUUUCUUUUUUAUAUCCACUCACCUAACAUCCGAGGUGGGACAAAAGGUACUGUCGCAGACAAGUACUCCAUUUAUUUAUAAAGGAAACCAACAAAAAAAAACCUAGGGAAAUGUUGCAGUAUUUAGUGUUUACUCUAUACAGUUAUACAGAAUGUGUAGUUUUAGAUUACAACAUACAGAUACAAGGAUGUUCUCUAGAUAUUUGAAUUAUCUGGUUUUAUCCAGGGAGUCUUGUUAUAAGUUGUGGCCACUAACACCUGCUUUUAUUUUUAUAUUUUUAUUAAAUAUAGCUUAUAUAUUUUUAGCUCACCUGGCCCGAAGGGCCAAGUGAGCUUAUGCCAUCACUUGGCGUCCGUCGUCUGUCGUCGUCGUCGUCUGUCGUCAUAAACUAUUUCAAGAAUCUUCUCCUCUGAAACUACUGGGCCAAAUACUUCCAAACUUUAACUGAAUGUUCCUUAGGGUAUCUAGUUUAUAAAUUGUAUCCGAAGUUAUGAUCUAUCAACAAACAUGGUCGCCAUUGCUAAAAAUAGAACAUAGGGGUCAAAUGCAGUUUAUGGCUUAUAACUCAAAAACCAAAGCAUUUAGAGCAAAUCUGAUAAGGGGUAAAAUUGUUUAUCAGGUCAAGAUCUGACUGCCCUGAAAUUUUCAGAUGAAUCAGACAAUUCAUUGUUGGGUUGUUGCCCCUGAAUUGGUAAUUUUAAGGAAAUUUUGCUGUUUUUGGUUAUUAUCUUGAAUAUUAUUAUAGAUAGAGAUAAACUGUAAACAGCAAUAAUGUUCAGCAAAGUAAGAUUUACAAAUAAGUCAACAUGACCGAAAUGGUCAGUUGACCCCUUUAGGAGUUAUUGCCCUUUAUAGUCAAUUUUAACCAUUUUUCGUAAAUCUUAGUAAUCUUUUACAAAAAUCUUCUCCUCUGAAACUACUGGGCCAAAUACUUCCAAACUUGAACUGAAUGUUCCUUAGGGUAUCUAGUUUAUAAAUUGUGUCCGGUGACCCGGCCAACCAACCAAGAUGGCCGCCAUGUCUAAAAAUAGAGCAUAUGGGUAAAAUGCAUUUUUUGGCUUAUAACUCAAAAACCAAAGCAUUUAGAGCAAACCUGAGAUGAGUAAAAUUGUUUAUCAGGUCAAGAUCUAUCUGCCCUGAAAUUUUCAGAUGAAUCGGACAACCCGUUGUUAGGUUGCUGCCCCUGAAUUGGUCAUUUUAAGGAAAUUGUUGCUAUUUUCGGUUAUUAUCUUGAAUAUUAUUAUAGAUAGAGAUAAACUGUAAAUAGGAAAAAUGUUCAGCAAAGUAAGAUUUACAAAUAAGUCAUCAAGUCCAAAUUUUCAGUUGACCCCUUUAGGAGUUAUUGCCCUUUAUAGUCAAUUUUUAAACAUUUUUCGUAAAUCUUAGUUAUCUUAUACAAAAAUCUUCUCCUCUGAAACUACUGGGCCAAAUUAAGUCAAACUUGGCCACAAUCAUUAUUGGGAUAUUUAGUUUAAAAAUUGUGUCCGGUGACCCGGCCAACCAACCAAGAUGGCUGCCAUGGCUAAAAAUAGAACAUAGGGGUAAAAUGCAGUUUUUGGCUUAAAACAUAAAAACCAAAGCAAAAGGUCAAGAUCUAUCUGCCCUGAAAUUUUCAGAUGAAUCAGACAACGUGUUGUUGGGUUGCUGCCCCUGAAUUGAUAAUUUUAUGGAAAUUUUUCUGUUUUUGUUUAUUAUCUUGAAUAUUAUUAUAGAUAGAGAUAAACUGUAAACAGCAAUAAUGUUCAGCAAAGUAAGAUCUUCAAAUAAGUCAAUUUGACCAAAAUUGUCAAUUGACCCCUUAAGGAGUUAUUGCCCUUUAAAGACUUUUUUCACAAUUUGUUCAUCAUGUUGACUUACUUUAAAAAAUCUUCUCCUUUGAAACUGCUGUAUCAAUUUCAGCCAGACUUAGGCUAAAUGAGUUUCAGAGUAUCUAGUAUAAAUUUUAUAUUUUAUUUCCUUUAAUGUCAAGAAACAUAGCUCCUAUGGCUAAAAUAGAACAUAGGAGAAAAUGAUUUUUUUUUUGGCUUUUGAAGAAAAUAGGACGAUCCAAAGAACAUUUAAAUAAAUUGAAAAUCCAAAAUAAUCAUUGAUGAGAGAUUUAAUCAAAAGAAUUAAGGUGAGCGAUUCAGGCUCUUGAGAGCCUCUUGUUAUUAAAUAUAGCUUAUAAGCUUAUGUCUUUCACCUUAUAAAAUCCUUGUUGCUAUUCUAUAAAACCCUUGUUACUAUAAUAUAUAAACCUUGUUACUAGUCUAUACAAAACCCUGUUACUUUUUUAUAAAACCCUUGUUACUUUUUUUUAUAAAACCACUGUUACUAUUCUAUAAACCAAUGUAACUAUUCUACAGUUAUGUGUGAUAAAACAAAUACCAAAACAAAUAUGCUAGACAUAAG
This 2741-nucleotide long non-coding RNA is filed under the name Mytilus galloprovincialis (Mediterranean mussel). The record is from RNAcentral. Lineage: Eukaryota; Metazoa; Mollusca; Bivalvia; Mytilida; Mytilidae.